AGAGUUUGAUCCUGGCUCAGGAUGAACGCUAGCUACAGGCUUAACACAUGCAAGUCGAGGGGAAACGAUAUUGGAAGCUUGCUUCCGAUAGGCGUCGACCGGCGCACGGGUGAGUAACGCGUAUCCAACCUGCCCACCACUUGGGGAUAACCUUGCGAAAGUAAGACUAAUACCCAAUGAUAUCUCUAGAAGACAUCUGAAAGAGAAUUAAAGAUUUAUCGGUGAUGGAUGGGGAUGCGUCUGAUUAGCUUGUUGGCGGGGUAACGCCACCAAGGCGACGAUCAGUAGGGGUUCUGAGAGGAAGGUCCCCCANAUUGGAACUGAGACACGGUCCAAACUCCUACGGGAGCA
This 351-nucleotide ribosomal RNA is filed under the name uncultured bacterium. RNAcentral's name for it is "bacterial SSU rRNA". It matches the Rfam family "Bacterial small subunit ribosomal RNA", at positions 8 to 349 of the family's 1533-position model. The record is from RNAcentral.